This 1356-nucleotide ribosomal RNA is filed under the name uncultured marine eukaryote. Its description in RNAcentral is "SSU rRNA". It matches the Rfam family "Eukaryotic small subunit ribosomal RNA", at positions 411 to 1779 of the family's 1831-position model. The record is from RNAcentral.
CACUUCUAAGGAAGGCAGCAGGCGCGCAAAUUACCCAAUCCUGACUCAGGGAGGUAGUGACAAGAAAUAACAAUAAACCGGCUUAUGCCGGUUUAAUUGGAAUGAGUACAAUUUAAACAUCUUAACGAGGAACAAUUGGAGGGCAAGUCUGGUGCCAGCAGCCGCGGUAAUUCCAGCUCCAAUAGCGUAUACUAAAGUUGUUGCAGUUAAAAAGCUCGUAGUUGGAUUUCUGUGGGGACGGAGCGGCCGGCCGCACCUCGCGGUUCGAGCUAGCGCUUUCCCUACAUCCUGCCGCGAACCGUGCUACCAUUAAUUUGGUGGCGCCGGGGAUCGGCUCGAUUACUUUGAGAAAAAUAGAGUGUUCAAAGCAGGCCACAUGCCUUGAAUAAGUUAGCAUGGAAUAAUAACUAAGGACUUCGGUUCUAUUUUGUUGGUGUUCGGGACUGAAGUAAUGAUUGAUAGGGACAGUUGGGGCGGUCUGUAUUCCAAAGCGAGAGGUGAAAUUCUUAGACCUUCGGAAGACAAACAGCUGCGAAAGCGUUCCGCAAGGAUGUUCCCUUUGAUCAAGAACGAAAGUUGGGGGAUCGAAGACGAUCAGAUACCGUCGUAGUCUCAACUAUAAACUAUACCAGCUAGGGAUCGGCCAACGUUAUUUCAAACCGACUUGGUCGGCACCUUAUGAGAAAUCAAAGCAUCUGGGUUCCGGGGGGAGUAUGGUCGCAAGGCUGAAACUUAAAGGAAUUGACGGAAGGGCACCACCAGCCGUGGAGCCUGUGGCUUAAUUUGACUCAACACGGGAAAACUUACCAGGUCCAGACAUAGUAAGGAUUGACAGAUUGAUAGCUCUUUCUUGAUUCUGUGGGUGGUGGUGCAUGGCCGUUCUUAGUUGGUGGAGUGAUUUGUCUGGUUAAUUCCGUUAACGAACGAGACCCCAGCCUGCUAAAUAGCGCGCGUGAGCUUUGCUCGCGGCGAGCUUCUUAGAGGGACUCUGAUGCGCGAUAGCACAUGGAAGUUUGGGGCAAUAACAGGUCUGUGAUGCCCUUAGAUGUUCUGGGCCGCACACGGGCUACACUGGCGCCUGCAACGAGCAUAUCAGCUGGCCCGAGAGGGUCUUGGCUAAUCUUUUGAACCGGCGCCGUGCUUGGGAUUGACCUUUGCAAUUGUUGGUCAUGCAACGAGGAAUGCCUUGUAAACGCGAGUCAUCAGCUCGCAUUGAAUACGUCCCUGCCCUUUGUACACACCGCCCGUCGCUCCUACCGAUGAAUGUUCCGAUGAAAUUUUCGGAGAGUGCCUGUGAACUUGGCUCUGCCUUGCGAACGGGAAGCUCAAAGUCACUUAAAUCUGAACAUUUCGAGG